AUUGAACGCUGGCGGCAUGCUUUACACAUGCGAGUCGAACGGUAACAGGCCUUCGGGUGCUGACGAGUGGCGCACGGGUGAGUAAUGCAUCGGAACGUACCCAGAGGUGGGGGAUAACGCAGCGAAAGCUGUGCUAAUACCGCAUGUGAUCUGAGGAUGAAAGCGGGGGACCGAGCAGCAAUGUUUGGCCUCGCGCCUUUGGAGCGGCCGAUGUCGGAUUAGCUAGUUGGUGGGGUAAAGGCCUACCAAGGCGACGAUCCGUAGCUGGUCUGAGAGGACGACCAGCCACACUGGGACUGAGACACGGCCCAGACUCCUACGGGAGGCAGCAAUGGGGAAUUUUGGACAAUGGGCGCAAGCCUGAUCCAGCAAUGCCGCGUGCGGGAAGAAGGCCUUCGGGUUGUAAACCGCUUUUGGCAGGAACGAAACGGUGUCCGCUAAUACCGGGCGCUAAUGACGGUACCUGCAGAAUAAGCACCGGCUAACUACGUG
This 492-nucleotide ribosomal RNA is filed under the name uncultured bacterium. RNAcentral's name for it is "partial 16S ribosomal RNA". It matches the Rfam family "Bacterial small subunit ribosomal RNA", at positions 29 to 507 of the family's 1533-position model. The record is from RNAcentral.